ACAGAGGAAAAAGCAGGAACCAGCUGUAAUGGCAGAGCUCGACCAGAGAUCAAGACGGUUAAAUUCUGUAUUUCCAGAUGAAAAACUGUAGUUUUUUACGAGGAAACCUAGUAAUUGUAGCAUAUGUAUAAUGCAUCCGUGGCAGGGCGUGCUGCCCUUGCUAGGAGAUCAACGAUUUGCUCAAAAAACAAUGAGCAAAAACCGCGGCUUGGAGAGGAGUAUGCUUGUUUAUUAAGUUGUAGGUGUUACAGAAGUGUAAAUUUAAUCUGAAAAUAUUGGUGUAAUUUAGUUAU
This 293-nucleotide unclassified non-coding RNA is filed under the name Hevea brasiliensis (rubber tree). Lineage: Eukaryota; Viridiplantae; Streptophyta; Magnoliopsida; Malpighiales; Euphorbiaceae. The record is from RNAcentral.